Molecule: ribosomal RNA, 900 nt
Filed under: unidentified archaeon
Lineage: Archaea
Description: bacterial SSU rRNA
Rfam family: Archaeal small subunit ribosomal RNA
Source: RNAcentral
AGCCUGACGAGGAUGCUAUCAGAGUAAGUGUAUCCAAGCGAGUCAACGCCCACAAGGCGUGGCAUACGGCUCAGUAACACGUAGUCAACAUGCCCAAAGGACGUGGAUAACCUCGGGAAACUGAGGAUAAAACCGCGAUAGGCCAAGGUUUCUGGAAUGAGCCCUGGCCGAAAUAUAUAUGGCCUUUGGAUUGGACUGCGGCCGAUCAGGCUGUUGGUGAGGUAAUGGCCCACCAAACCUGUAACCGGUACGGGCUUUGAGAGAAGGAGCCCGGAGAUGGGCACUGAGACAAGGGCCCAGGCCCUAUGGGGCGCAGCAGGCGCGAAACCUCUGCAAUAGGCGAAAGCCUGACAGGGUUACUCUGAGUGAUGCCCGCUAAGGGUAUCUUUUGGCACCUCUAAAAAUGGUGCAGAAUAAGGGGUGGGCAAGUCUGGUGUCAGCCGCCGCGGUAAUACCAGCACCCCGAGUUGUCGGGACGAUUAUUGGGCCUAAAGCAUCCGUAGCCUGUUCUGCAAGUCUUCCGUUAAAUCCACCUGCUUAACGGAUGGGCUGCGGAGGAUACCGCAGAGUUAGGAGGCGGGAGAGGCAAACGGUACUCAGUGGGUAGGGGUAAAAUCCAUUGAUCUACUGAAGACCACCAGUGGCGAAGGCGGUUUGCCAGAACGCGCUCGACGGUGAGGGAUGAAAGCUGGGGGAGCAAACCGGAUUAGAUACCCGGGUAGUCCCAGCUGUAAACGAUGCAGACUCGGUGAUGGGUUGGCCUCGAGCCAACCCAGUGCCGCAGGGAAGCCGUUAAGUCUGCCGCCUGGGGAGUACGGUCGCAAGACUGAAACUUAAAGGAAUUGGCGGGGGAGCACCACAAGGGGUGAAGCCUGCGGUUCAAUUGGAGUCAACGCCGGA